AUGAACGCUGGCGGCAGGCCUAACACAUGCAAGUCGAGCGGAAACGACAACAUUGACUCUUCGGAUGAUUUGUUGGGCGUCGAGCGGCGGACGGGUGAGUAAUGCUUAGGAAUUUGCCCAGUCGAGGGGGACAACAGUUGGAAACGACUGCUAAUACCGCAUACGCCCUNCGGGGGAAAGCAGGGGACCUUCGGGCCUUGCGCGAUUGGAUAAGCCUAAGUGAGAUUAGCUAGUUGGUGAGGUAAUGGCUCACCAAGGCGACGAUCUCUAGCUGGUCUGAGAGGAUGAUCAGCCACACUGGAACUGAGACACGGUCCAGACUCCUACGGGAGGCAGCAGUGGGGAAUAUUGCACAAUGGGCGAAAGCCUGAUGCAGCCAUGCCGCGUGUAUGAAGAAGGCCUUCGGGUUGUAAAGUACUUUCAGCAGUGAGGAAGGGUNUGUAGUUAAUAGCUGCAUAUCUUGACGUUAGCUGCAGAAGA
Molecule: ribosomal RNA, 480 nt
Filed under: bacterium w3cb2
Lineage: Bacteria
Description: bacterial SSU rRNA
Rfam family: Bacterial small subunit ribosomal RNA
Source: RNAcentral